CCUGCGGAGACAAAUAGAAGGUAAUUUGAUAUUUCCGUGGCCAACAAAAGAAAUUAAUAACGGAAGUGACGGUGGCGCAUAAACAUAAUGAAUGAGCAGUAGGUUAUGGUGGUUAUGGUUACGAAUUUCGCUCUGUUUAUGGGCAUUGGGUAAAUAUACCCGAAAAGGCAAAUAUUUGUGGCCCACAAAUAGGUAAACAUUUGGCCAGCAAACUUCAAAAUACACAUUCCCGACUGACCCCACAUUUAUAACCACCAGUAAGGUAUAUUUCGCCUGGGUCGAAGUGGGCACAAACACCGAUAAGAUAAGCGCCGUUUGGAAAGGAGAAUGGUGGCUUGAUCGGUAUCGUGAACUGGGGAAGAGGCACCUUAAACUUCAACUAGGUAGUUAUCAUAAGGCGAACUCAUCGAGAGUUGUGUAUAUGUAGGCUAUUUUAACAACUCACCUCAGCAGAUAGUGGUCAUCCUGCAGUCGCCCCCUGCUGCCGACAUGGGGAUGGAUGAAGUACGUCUGCCUGCCAUCGAAAACGAUGCCAUCGAGAGCACCAUCACAGGUGGAGAGCGCUACCACGGAGUCUGGUUGACCACGAAUGUGUCCCUGUGAUGGGAAAAGCAAAUAAGAAAUCACAAAUAUUAACCAUUAAUUCUAUUUAGUUAAAACUGAGCAAUAAAUUAGUCUGAAAUUAGACUGUCACAUACCUGA
This is a long non-coding RNA of Drosophila yakuba, 702 nucleotides long. RefSeq lists it as uncharacterized. The transcript is spliced from 2 exons. NCBI's taxonomy places the organism in Eukaryota, Metazoa, Arthropoda, Insecta, Diptera, Drosophilidae. The record is from RefSeq and is a predicted model, not a curated record.